Molecule: ribosomal RNA, 520 nt
Filed under: uncultured bacterium
Lineage: Bacteria
Description: bacterial SSU rRNA
Rfam family: Bacterial small subunit ribosomal RNA
Source: RNAcentral
CCUACGGGAGGCAGCAGUGAGGAAUAUUGGACAAUGGGCGCAAGCCUGAUCCAGCCAUGCCGCGUGCAGGAAGACGGUCCUAUGGAUUGUAAACUGCUUUUAUACAGGAAGAAACACCUCUACGUGUAGAGACUUGACGGUACUGUAUGAAUAAGCAUCGGCUAACUCCGUGCCAGCAGCCGCGGUAAUACGGAGGAUGCAAGCGUUAUCCGGAAUCAUUGGGUUUAAAGGGUCCGUAGGCGGUUUAAUAAGUCAGUGGUGAAAGCCCAUCGCUCAACGAUGGAACGGCCAUUGAUACUGUUAAACUUGAAUUAUUAGGAAGUAACUAGAAUAUGUAGUGUAGCGGUGAAAUGCUUAGAGAUUACAUGGAAUACCAAUUGCGAAGGCAGGUUACUACUAAUAUAUUGACGCUGAUGGACGAAAGCGUGGGGAGCGAACAGGAUUAGAUACCCUGGUAGUCCACGCCGUAAACGAUGAUACUAGNUGUGUAGCAUCUGAGUGUGAGAGAAGAGAGUAAGUA